RNAcentral lists this ribosomal RNA (843 nucleotides) under uncultured bacterium. Its description in RNAcentral is "bacterial SSU rRNA". It matches the Rfam family "Bacterial small subunit ribosomal RNA", at positions 679 to 1505 of the family's 1533-position model. The record is from RNAcentral.
AGGUGAAAAUUUCGUUAGAUAUUUCGGAAAGAACCACCAGUGGCGAAGGCGGCUCACUGGACUUGGUAUUGACGCCUGAGGUGCCGAAAGCCGUGGGGAGCCAAACAGGAUUUAGAUACCCCUGGUAGUCCCACGCCGUAAACGAUGAUAACUAGCUGUCCGGGCACUUGGUGCUUGGGUGGCGCAGCUAACGCAUUAAGUUAUCCCGCCUGGGGAGUACGGUCGCAAGAUUAAAACUCAAAGGAAUUGACGGGGGCCUGCACAAGCGGUGGAGCAUGUGGUUUAAUUCGAAGCAACGCGCAGAACCUUACCAGCGUUUGACAUGUCCGGACGAUUUCCAGAGAUGGAUUUCUUCCCUUCGGGGACUGGAACACAGGUGCUGCAUGGCUGUCGUCAGCUCGUGUCGUGAGAUGUUGGGUUAAGUCCCGCAACGAGCGCAACCCUCGCCUUUAGUUACCAUCAUUUAGUUGGGUACUCUAAAGGAACCGCCGGUGAUAAGCCGGAGGAAGGUGGGGAUGACGUCAAGUCCUCAUGGCCCUUACGCGCUGGGCUACACACGUGCUACAAUGGCAACUACAGUGGGCAGCAAUCCCGCGAGGGUGAGCUAAUCUCCAAAAGUUGUCUCAGUUCGGAUUGUUCUCUGCAACUCGAGAGCAUGAAGGCGGAAUCGCUAGUAAUCGCGGAUCAGCAUGCCGCGGUGAAUACGUUCCCAGGCCUUGUACACACCGCCCGUCACACCAUGGGAGUUGGGUUCACCCGAAGGCGUUGCGCUAACUCGCAAGAGAGGCAGGCGACCACGGUGGGCUUAGCGACUGGGGUGAAGUCGUAACAAGGUAGCCGUAG